UUGGACCGAAGCACGGUGUUUCCUGUCUGCUGCCUGCACGCCAUUACACCAUCUCUCCUUCCCCGGGGGACCGUGGCUCUGUCUGUGCUCCAGAAAGGGUCUGCCCCCCAGCCUUGGAGACAAACGGGCUGUCGGGUCCUGAGCACGACCUUGGUGGCACCAAGAAGGGAACCAACCAUCAGUAUCAAUGCCAGGGGCUGCAUGAUUGCGCCCACCCAUGCUCAGCGUGGAGGCUGAACAAUUUGCUCCACAGCCAGGCCAACAUGCACCAACAUCAAGUGUUCAUCCGUGGUUGCUGCUGCUAGUGUGUGUCUGCCUGUAUGUGUGCACUCAUUUCUAUGCAGGUCUAAGAGAGCAGGGCAAAAUUCUGCUCUCUCCGACAGCCAAAUAAGUCUGGGGAUGCUGAUGAAGGUACUAGCAGGGUAGCAGGGCACAAAGGCAGCAGGCUUUCAUAUGAGGUGGUCAGGAGAGGUGAGAUGAGGCUGCUGGGUCCCCACAAAGACCGUUUGGCACUGGAGGGAGGAGCUCUGCCUGCAGCAGCUGACUUUUGUAUAGCUGUCUCUAGGAAUGCAGAUAAAGAACACUUCAUACUGGGAAAAAAACAACUGUCUAGUUUGCUAUUGGCACUUUUCACCUUCCAUUUCUGAGCAACUGGCUGGACUCUGAAUUCAGCUGUGUCUGGGAUGAGGAAAGCAAUUCCAAAGGGACUGGUAAUCAAGGAGUCCCUGCAGCUUUCUAACCAUAAUAAAGCACAUUCUUUUACUCUUCUUUGGACACUUACAGCAAAAAUUCAGCUCUCUAGUCAGAGAGUUGAAAUCUGGAAUGUCUAUUGCAUCAGUGGAAGGAAGCCAGGCUUGCAGCAGUGUAAGCGAGUGAAAGAUCUGGCAGACAAUCAAGAUGCAACAUUAUAAUGAAACUUUGGGGUUGUUUCCUUUUUAAUUUUGUCCUAAGCGGCUGGUCUAUGUUCUGCUCUCACUUUUUUAUCUGAUGGCUGUCAUGCAGCAGCAGUGUGCCUGAGAUCAAGCUCAGCCCUCUAGGUUUCCAUUCCCCUCCGAAAUAUAAAUUGCAAGAUGGCAAUAAAUACUGGAAUAAAAAAGAUAUGUAAUUUCAGUGACAGAGAAGUAAAUUGAUGCUGAAUGUAUAUGACACUUUUUCAAUUUUCCUCUUGUUUUUCCUGAUAGCGUUUUGUGCUAAACAUUACAUUUGCAGAUGCAAAAUUUAAAGAACUCUUUAUCUUCAGCACUGAGAAACAUAACAUGUAAUUUGUGGCUUCAGCCAAGAGUGAUGGCCUUAUUAGUAAUGGGAAUUUACUGAUUAACUGCUGUUAGCAAAACAUCAUCUUCAAGCCCGUUAGUCUGAAACUGGCAGCCGCUCUGUCGGCAGGAGCUUUUUUAUUUCAUCUCGGGGGAGUUCUGUAGAAAUAUUUCUCAUUUAAACAGCUUUAGCCUUGGCCUUUCAAUAAUUUUUAUGGUCUCAACUAAUAGGUUAACAAUUAGUUAAGAGCAACUAUCAGCUUAAUGUCAAGUCAUUCACAGGGAAAAGUUCAAGGAGAGAAGUAACGGUAUUUCAAAAGAUGGUUUAUUUUCGAACAAAGAGCUCCAAUCUGUUGGAGGAGACAAGGAUAAAAAUGAACGCAGGAGAGAGGUUGAGAAAUGGGAAAGAAAGGUAUGGGGCCCAUGGAAAGCCAGGAGAGGGUCUGCUGAGGAGCAGGGUGUGCUGGAGUGGCACCAAGGUGCCGGGGGUUAUCUGCACUCCUGGCCCCCAGCCCCGCUUGGGGAGGCUGUCGCCGGCACGGCGGCAAGGGGGGGCGCGUGUUUGUCUGCAGCCUGGCAGGGCUUCGUGCCCUGCAGCAUCUCCCAGCUUCUGAUUUAUCUCCGGGGUUUUGUCCCUGCCUCCCACCCACCCCAUCCCUCAGACCCAGCUCUCCAUCCCUGCUGAGGAUGCCUCUUUCUCCUUCACGCUCUUUCGGCACUAACAGGGCAUUGAGCGAGUGCACAAGGGAUACGUCUGUUCUUCCUCUGAGCUUCUGUGCCAGAUGUCACCGUGGUGCAUAAACAGCUGGUAAGGAAAGUCCUGCUCAGCCGUCGGUGGCAUGUGUGCCAUCAAGAUGGCAUUGUCAGAUAGAUGUGUUCAUUAGGACCAGUCUCAUUGCCAGGGCAUGAAUGGGGGGAUGCUUUUUUCUUCCCUCAACAGCUCUCAUACAGACGGAUCUUGGAAUCAUUUAUGGGGUUGGAAAAGUGUGUAUCGCUGCCUCCAAAGUAAAUCCCUCCUAAAUCUCUCUGAUUCUUCUCAUGGAUGUGCAGAGUGAGUCAAGGGCAUGGGAAGCCACUCCUGACUCUCAACAGCUUUUUCCAGCUUAAUCACUCACCUUGCCUGGACAUAUUUCUGACCAGAAGUUUUCCUCAAAACACAGGCAAAUGAAGAGCCUUCCUGGACACGUUCAGUGUACAUGAUGACAGGAGAGGUGGGCAGGCUUUUCUUGCAGAGACCCGAACAGGCUGAGAUGCCCUUGGUACAGAGCAGCUCAAUUUUGUCCCGUGGGGGCUACAUAAAACCUGAUCACCUCCCAUAUCUGGGCUUUUGGAGAGUAGGUUCCUGACAGAGGUGUGAGAGGUGGGCAGCUACAUGAGCAAAUGACUGACUGAUCCUGUGCGGAGCAUCCUCUCAUAUGGGGAAGGACAGUGAGGCUAAUGCUGGCAUCACACCGAGUGAUUAGGGAGAGAAAAGAGCCUGUUAUACAUACAUAGCAAUUAUAAAGUGCUUACAGAUCUUUUGUUUCCUUUGGACUACAAGCUCAGGCACAUGGUGUUUAUAUAUGUGUGUAUAUGCACGUAUGAGUAUGUUUUAAUAUAUACGUGUAGAUAUGUAUUUUUUCAUCCAUUGCCUGAAGUGUAACUCCUAUCCUGUGAGCUGGGCAGGGCAGGAAUGCUGAUGUCUUAUUUCUCUGUGUGAUUUUUAAUGGAGCUGGGAUGUGAGCCCCGGCUGGGAGCUUCAGAGAGAAGAGCAAAGGAAACUGCUGCACGGCCCAUCUUACUCAGUGAUCUUCCCAAAGUCCAGUCUACUCCAUAGGCUUCUUACAAUCAAAGGAAGAAGCUUUUUCCCUCCAAUAUUUAUUACAGAGGGUGCCUGAGCUGCGAACCAAGAGGACUGAGCACUUUGCAGGCACAUAAACCAACUCUGAAGUCGAAUCGCUUCACCUUAGAAGCCAGGCUCUGAGUGACUUCAGACAGCUCCUGCUUAUAUCCAGUCUGAAGGAAACCUUCCUUCUGGCUUUAAAGUCUGGAGAUAAAAGAGCAGUCUGGUGAAAAAAAGGCAAAUUUCUCGUAGCCAGAAGAGCCCGAGUGUUGUUUAGGGCCACGAGGGAGGUGUGUGACCGAGGCCAGGCCUGAUGGGGCCUAGCGCAGCAAUCUGCUGUCCAUCCAUGUGGCACCAUGGCAGGGGUGGGGACACUGUGGCCAUGGGCAGGAGCUGGCCCAGGGCUUUGUGCUGGUAUCUUUGAGGCCUUUUGCUGCUCAUCACUGGGACAUGUUCUUUCCUGCUCUUUCUCUUGUGCCCUGAAUGGAGGCACAAGCGAGAAGCCCCAGCUGGGGAUGAGCAGCAGCACCUACCUCACAAGGCUUCAUCUUUGGUCUCAGCACAGAAAGGAACGGUGAAAGGAAAGACCACUUCAAAACAUUUUUUGGAGUCUACCUUAUAUUCAUAGUUCAUAAAGAGGGGCCAGAAAUCAAGGGGUGACCUGAACCCACUUUUCUUUGCUAUAAUUUCUUGGAUACGUGCAGCUACCCUUUCAAUAACGCUACUUUUUGCAGCUGAUUUCUACCCGAUUAUGGAGAGCAAUAAGAAGAUAGGGCCCAAAGAUUAUUAUCCAGUGGCCUAUUCUCGCUUUCACUGACAUGGAUGGCAAAUUGACUUCAAGGGAAACUUCAUCAUGCUGUAGUGUUGAUAGCAUCAUAGAGGAAAGUGUAAUUAAAGGGCAAAAAAGAGGGGAAUCAUUCACUGCAAUGUAUUUCUUGGAUAGCUAGAGCUGACUCUACAUAACAGGGAAAGCAUUUCUUAUUUUCUAGGGGAAGUUUUUUAAUAGUAGUUGAGCUGAGAUUUUUUUGGCUCUUUUUCAGGCUUUUUAUUGAGACAUUGCUAGAGUAUUCCACUAGCUGCCAGUGUGUAAAGUGGGCAGAUCAACCUUGAAAUAUUACGGUCUUGGGACAAAUUUUGUUCUUGUUUUCUCCCCAGUGCAAAUCCAGAAUAACAGUAAUGACUUCAGCUGAGCCACUUCAGUUUUAUAUCAGCAUAAAUGAGAGCAGGGUCUGCCCAUGUAGAUGCAGCCUGCGGGACUAGGCAUCUGCCUGCGUGCUGCACCCUUGCUUCAAAUUGACACCCUACCCUUAAUUCAGCGGAGAACCAAAGGAACUGCUUGCCCUGCAAAUGAGCACUGAUGCUAAUGUAUCACAGUGGAGAUUUAUCAACAAGCUGACACCUCGGUAGCCAUCUCUUAUUUGCAUAGCAGAGAAAUGUGAAUAAAAGAUGUGAGAUUAGCUCUGCACUGGCCAGGGUAGAAGGUAAUUCUGGCAUUAGCAGAGCUGCAGACUCAGCCACAGGGAAUUUGGUAGGUAAAAAUGCUUUGUGUGUCCAUAAGCAUGACACAUGUGUAAAGACUGAGACCAGGCACUUAUUUAAAAAAUACAGUUUAUUAGAUAAAACAUACAUAGAACCAAGUAAAUCCAAAUCUUUAUUAAAAAUACAGAAAUAAUUUUGCAAUACUAAAAGAAAGUACUGGCUUUUUCUAUGAAACAUAAAUCUGAAAGUAUGGGACAUCCUUGCUUUAUCAUAGCCCGUCCCCCUCUAGUCUACAUUCUUAAACAUACUGCAUCAAAUUGUGAAACCCAAGCAAAAGUCUGUUGUACAAAAUUAAGUAUGUUAAGUCCAGUAAUACUCAGUUUAAUUACGAUGCAAACAGUAGCAUACAGCACACAGAACAGUCAAUUUACAGCUAUACAUUAAAACAUGCCUCUAUAUAGUGAUGGAGAAUCCACUGGAAGGAGUAAGUUACAAAUAAUUAAAAAAAAAUGCCUGUAGAAAUAAUAGAAGAAUCACAGUUUGACACUAUGCUUGCAAAAUGGUUGUGUAUGUACUUAGACACUGAGUAUGUGAAGGAUGGAUAAAUUGGACCCACCGAUACAGAACAUGCUAACUCGACAGUUAUCAUUUUGUUUGGACGUGUGAAUGUGUGUGACAUGUACACACGGUGGGCAGGUGCAUAUCUGUGCACGUACAUCAGACCUGCAUGUACAUACACAUAGAAAGGCACACACCUCCACAGCUGAAGACAAAUCACUUCAAUAAAACCCUUUAAAGUGGGCUGAGAGUAAUACUAAUAUGCUGCUUGUCAAAAACGUGCUGCUCUAGGGCUCCACACAUUUUAUUCUUGUGUUUUUCUUAUCCAUAAGCUCCACAUUCAUUUCACCUCAGCUCUCCAUUGUUUGCAUAUUUGCAAAGUGAACACAGAGCUAUUCAGUCUAAUAUAAUGUUCACUGUUGGAGAUUAUUUAUUAGGGGAGGUUUUAAUAGCUGAUAAAUAGCAAAGUAUUAAAGGGCUUGCUUUGCUUUUUAAGUAAGUAGAACUAAGGGGCAGAUGUCUUUUCCCUGAUUAUUGUUAGCAUCAUAUGGUAAUCCUGGCACAAUCAACAAUAUAUCUUGUGUAUCAUCUUUAGUAACUGUUCUUGACUGAAAAUGGAGAAGACUCACAUUAGGAAAAGUCAUAGGCAUAUAAGCUGUUUCUGUAAUCCCCAAUUAUUUAGCUCCUCCUGACAAUAAUGGCAAAAUAAAUGAAUGCUAGAAUAUUGUGCUAAGUAAAAUGAAUGGGUAGCAGAACGAGCAUUAAGUGAAAGAAUUACAAAGGCUUCACAGAAUCAGAAAUUACUUAGGCUCAGAAAAGCACGUCAAGUGGCCAACUUGGAGCAAAGCUCAAGACACACUGAGGUCAGUGAUGUGCAGGUGUGUGCUUGGCAUUAAACAUCACUGAACUGCACAGCUGGACUGGGACCCCAAAGCAUUCAUCCGAUAAGACGCUUUUUUUUGUUUCUCUCUCAUUGAAAGAAAGCAAACCAAAUCAGUACUAAGGCAAAAGUGUGUAAAAUAGAGAAAUCCUGACAGACUCUGGUGGGAAUCGGCUGGCUUUAUAUUCGCGUGAGAGAAGCAGCAACCUGUGCAGGUUUACACAGCAGGACAGGAGCAAAACGCUCUGAGAAGGCGGACGGUACUGUGCUUUGCAGAUGGGGCAGGAGGCACCAUCAGUGGGCUGUGGACACAGACUUUUCUUUCCACUGGAGUCCCAGACAGCAUCACUCAUGUCAUACAGCCCACAGGGCUGCCGUUAGCACAGUGAUGCUGCUGGUGGGAUAAACCCAGCUGCCUUUUGCCAUCGGGAAGAGCUGGAGCCUGGUGGCACUGGUGUGGAGUAAAACCAGGCAGCAUGAUGAAAACACACAGAAGAAUCCCAGCCACAGACUUCCAAAAUAAAUCUGCCUUAUACAGACCUUACACUGAGCCACGGGACUAAGACCGCAGUCAACAGCAUUCAAGCCCGUAAUCUUAUCACUACAGCACAUUUUUAUUAAAGAGGAAAUCUCGCUAUUUACAUUCUCUUCUCAUAUACACACUGGCAGAGGAAGGAAGCCUGGUGAGCGAGUGCAUGCCAGCUGAUUUCUCUGCUUGGAGAGCAGUCACGGAGGAGAAGCCUGUGCCGCAUGCUGGACGGGCUCCUGCUAGCUCCUGCGGGGUUUGGAUGAGAGCAGUCACAAACGCAUUUUUCGAAUGAUGUGAGGUGUGGAGACGUUGCCUGUGUCAGUAUUAAGCGGUAUGGACUGUAAUAAGUUUGGGGGUGGCUGAAUGCAAGGCAGUGUGUGUUUGAUUAUAAAUAAAUUGUUUGUAUAUUCAGUUUUUUUUUUUCUCCCUGGCAUGAAGAAAAUCAAACAGCUUUAUGUAUUUGCUUGAUGUGCGAUGCCCUUUUCUGAAGGUUGUACAGUCCCAUGAAAGAGAUGUCAUUCGCCAUUCGAGGAGGACAAGAUUAGUGUAGAGCAGGUAGGUAAAAAAGUCCAAGAUUGUAAAAAUACCUGCAAGAUGCCAUGAAAGCAGCCCUGCUUAUCCAGCUGCUGCAGAAACUGAGGCUUAUCUAGCAAAUUACAGAUCAUAUUAAAAAUCAAAGCUAACACACUUUGAGCCCAAUUAGCAAUAGAAAAACUGAUAGCUGUGCAUACAUUAAAAAAAAAACGUGCAUGCUUCACUAGCCUUGGAAGCUAAAGCUGAGGAACUGGAAGGGAGCUCGGAGCACCAUUAAAAAAGAAGUGUGAGCGGGACUUGCGCUGCUCUGUGGCCUGACUUAAGGCUGCCCCUUUCCAGCUGGAAGAGAGCUGUUAUGCUCUCAUCCUUCACACUGUUUGGAAACAGAGCCCUAGAGCCAAAACCUGAUCUCAUUCCCACUGGUAGAAGUAUGCAGUAGCCCCACAGAAGCUACAGUCAUUACUCUAGACUCGCACUUGUGCAUCCACGUGUGAAUCGGCCCUGCCUUACUGCACGUAUUUCGGGAUGAAGGAUGCUGCUGCACACAUUGCAGCGCCCGCUUGAUGUCGGCUUAUGAGCACGGCCUUCCCUCACUGCUGAUUUCAUCUGUCCCACCUCCGCCUCCCAGCUGGCCAACACCGCUCCCCUUCUUCUUCCAGCCGGGUGGCUCUUUCCCACCUCCUGCUGUCCUUAUGGUUGGCAGUGGGCACCUCUUCUUUCCAACCAACUCUCCCAUCCAGGCGGAUGGCACGCUGGCCCCUCUCCAGACCACGGGAAUGAUGCUGGUGGCUCUGAGCUUGGCACGCUGGUUGCCUGCACCUGCCUAAUGGUGUGCCAUGCACGGGGCCAGGCUUGGCUUCCACAUGCAUCAGCAACGGGGCAGGAGCUGAAGAUUCAUCCCACUGAGCAGUGCAGCCGGGUCCCUUCCAACCUGUGAGCAUUUAAGCUGCUUGGACAUCGAGGGAAAGAUGGAAGGAAGAGGGGAGAACUGCACCCACCCUGUGUAAAAGUGCUGAGCCCUUAAUGAGGUAUUUAUUGCAAAUAGGAAUCAGCCGACUGGUUAAAAACCAUCCCCGAAAAGUGCCUUUCGUGCUGGUGAAGGAAAGCAGUGGAAAGCUUUUUGUGCAAGAUAAAGAAGGGGUUAAAAAAAAAUACAGACAACCUAAUUCAAAGAUUAAAAAACUGGUACUAGUAAAGGGCACUUGGUUGAAAGGAAAGCAAGGGUUGCAGAAAACUACGGAGAAAGAGAGGGGAAAUAAAUGUGAGAAUGGAAGAGCAGAGAAGAGCCAUAAGGUGGUGCAAAAGGGGUGAAGGAGACACAUUUAUGGUCCCUGAAAGAUGGAAAGAAAGGAAGAAGAAGAGAUCUUGCCAGAGAGGAACUGAGGAGAAAAAAACCUGAAUGUAACUGCAGUGGUGGAAUGGGAAGGGAAAGGGCUGAGAAGUUUCAGGGGAAAGGACUAGAAGGCAGAGGAUGAUUAAGAGGGGGAAGAAUGAGGGCAGGAUAAGGGAUUAUCUGACCUUUAAAAGCCCACCAUGUAGGUACAUAAAGAAGCUGUAGGCAAGGGCUACGUGAGGAGCAAGUCAGAUUUGGACAGCACAAGGAGAAAGGAUGGUGAGAAUGGAUGGUCUUGUGUUUAAGGCACUAGACUUGGACCAGAAGGUCUGGGAUCAGACUUCUGGCUUCACCAAAGGUGAUUAGCAGUGUUGGGAAGGAGACAAUAAGGUUCCUCAUUUUCCUCAGUCUUCUGCUAUUUUUACCAUAAGUGUCUGAGAGGUAAUUCGCGCCAUUGACUUCUAUCUGCUUUUAACCUUUAUCUGCAAAAGGGAAGGAAAACUGCCUCUAGGAGACCCUUCCCCUUAGGUUGUCCCUCAGUGGCAGGCUGAGUCCCUCCUAAUCCAUCUGCACGCCACGAGGCACGAUCUCUGCACGCCUUUGUAACACAAAUACCCGUAGUAACUUCUGAUAACAGCAGCCUAACGUGCCUAUAGUUGAGCUGUUUUAGUGUCGGACACAGACCUCAUCGACAGUGGUAAAGAUGUGGAACAAGUCUGCUGAAUUUACAACAGUGUCAGUGGAAGACUGGAAUUCAGAUUGCCUUCCUGUAGGCACACCGACUGUAUAAACAAGAGGCUUUCUUUUACUACAAGAUUUCUAAGAGGCAUAAAAGGAAAAGCUGGUAAAUAUUAACCUGCUAAACAGCCAUGACUAGAGCUGCUUUCUGAAGCCUCUGUGCCACAAAGGAAAUCAAAAAAAGAUCUUUUUCUUUUAAUACCGUCUCAUGCCAAGCUGGUCAGAAGCCUUCUGGAUGCUAGAACAUAUUAGCAGUGCCAUGAGGAAGAUGGAUAGGUUUUAGAAACAGUCAUUUGGUUUCAGUGGAACCUGGACACAUGGAUCAAUUCACAAUACUGCCACUACAGCAAAUGCUCAGGGCCAUAAAACACAUUACAGAUCAGGAAACCAUCAAAGUGAGGAAUAAAAUUAAUCACUAGCCUUUCACUGACUUGGAUUCACUGCAGCUCAGAAGCCCUUUCCCCACCCCUUCUCCCAUGUUUCACCUGAAAGACACUGAAAGCCGUGAAACAGCUCCAUUUGGAAAUGUCCUCAUCUCUGUAUUUAUUGGGGUGCGUUUUUUUUUUCCUAUUCCCCAUCCUUUUAGAGAUCUCUGAUAACAGGACAUUGGUUGCCUGCAUUGCGUGCUCAGAAAGAAGAGGACAGCAUGGUCCCGGUCCUUUAUAUCACCGAGGGAGAACCAUGGCUAAUAAAGACAUACUUCUCUACUCAGAAGAAGGUUUCCUAUUUCUAUACAUGCCCAGGAAAAGGGCACAAACCACAGGGGAACACCGCUGAAGCCUGGGACUUGCCCAUUUCCGAAGCCCAGUCCUUCCUGGCUGCUCCACUCUGCUUUUCCUUCACUCUCUCCACGGCCUGCCCAUGCAGCCGGGCAGGCAACGUGCACAGCCACACAGCCACAUGCACAGACACACAGACACCCCCCCGGCCAGCCUCAAACGCUGCUUUUUGGCAGGAGGAGCAAGGCUGUGCAGCCAGAGAUGGAGACCUUCCUGCAGUGCCGAGCCAUCCCCGCUGGGCUGUGGCACUACCAGGAGACUCAGCUGUUUGAAGCAUGAUGAGGUGCCGCAGAUGCUGAAGGAGCCAAAUAAUCGUAGGUCAGCGGGGUUGAUUUCGAAAAGUUUCAUUUUUAAAUCCCACCGAGGCCUUCGCCUCGAGAACUUGUGGAAAUCGCUCGGUGAAGUCAUGCUCCGGCCGGGCCGAGUUUCUGCCCAGCAGCACGGCUGCGAUCCUCAGCGCUUUGCUCUGCUGCUGAGCGGGAAACCCAAACCAGGCUCGGCCAAACCUGCAGCUCCAACCCAAAACGAACAGGAGAAAGUGUCGGGAUCAGGGCGGUGUGCAGCUGGAAGAGCUCUCCACCAGGAAGCUCGCAGAGCUCCCGGGAGCAGGACAAGGAUUGCUUGACUUGCUUUGCGAGCCAAGCCCUUACGAAUCCAAGAGACAAACUUACGUGGAGCUCGGUGGGACCUGGAUUUGGCCUAACGUGCUUUAUUUAGCAUUGUGAGGGAGGGAAACAUUUUUUCUCGAGCUUAAGUUGAAAGAUUCUUGUGUUUCAGCUGGAGCCUUGUUGUGGCAGAGCAUCACACACCGUCGCUUCUUUCUCUUCCUUAAGCAAAUCUUUAUUUCUUCCACACUUAGCCUCCGACCAGCACCUCUAUGCCCAAACCCUGUUAAACCUGGCUGGUGGGGGGGACACAACCCCUCGGACCGCCCCAUGCUCACCCUGUCCCUUCGGAUUCAGGCACCUGGCGGGGAGCUGGGGCUCGGGGAACAAAGGGAGACGAGGCCGUGCAUUCACGUCCCCCGAGCUGUAAAUCCCGAGGCGAGGGGAUUCGCCGGAGCUGGUGCCAGAAGGCGCGAGCUGCGCUAGAGCCCGUCGUACUUGCGAAGUCCAUAUGUGAUAAUACCACUGCAGCCACAAAAGAAUUUACAGCAGGAAGCGUCGCAGCUGUUGCUUAUUAGCAUUAGUACAAAUUACACAAAGCAAAUUGUUAGCAGACAUGUUUCCACAAUAUUUAACUCGUGGCAGCGAAUGAAAGCGGCUCCUUCCCGAGCAGAAUUUGCGAUUUCCAAGGGAAUGGGUUUCCAAUUGUCCAUGAAGGGACCACGGAUUAGGAGGCAGCGUGUGACUAUCGCAAGGACUCAGAGGCAACGUGUGCGCAGCCUCGCCUGCUUUCUCAGGUGGAAGGGUGCAAAUUUAGGGCUGCGUUUCUUGGUGUGAGAAGCAAAAUCCGCACGGCUCCAGCCAGCUCAGUUACCAGUGGCAGGGGAGCAGCAGUGCGUGGGACCUGCUCUGGAGCUGCCGUGUUAAGGCUUUGCACGCAGAAACGCUUGGAAGGGGGGAGAGGCUCUUGCUGACCUGACAUUUCCCUGGAUUUUUACCCCAAAGUGCCUGUAAUGACUAUUUCCCUAGCAACCCCAAGCCUGUUGAUGGGGAAGCAGCAUGAGCCAGCGGAGCAAUCCUCUAACACCAGCUCAGAGGGGUGGCAGAUGCCCACGAAGUACUGAGAUUGCUUAAAGCAAGUGAAGUGCCUCCUGAUCCAGCUGUGAGUGCCCAAAAGCAGAAACCAGGGGCACGCAGCGCGCACCUGGGGGCAGGUGCAUCCACCCACCUGUUUGCAGGAGAUCAGAAAUACAGCUUGGUUGGAGGCAGGCUGAAGUGAGAGCUCUGAAGAGGAAAGCAAGCAAAGCAAUUUUGUACCAGCAAUGUCUAAAAUAGCAGCUAAUCGAGAGGCGGUGACAUGCCUCUUCUGACUCUCGAGGGCUUGUUCCUAGGAAAUGGCCUGACACACUCUGCACAGCUCAACCACCCUCCCUGGCAAGGCUCGAAAGAGAAACAAUGAUUAUUAGUAGCAAUAUUACUGCAGUAAUGUUUGCCCCCUAACUGCCUUUUGGUGAAAAAACACACAGUGAGGGAUUUCUUUUGUAAACUUUACUCACGUGUAAAACGAAGUCCCUAAACACCUCCCCUGUAAAAGGCAGCGCAUUAAAUAUCAUGGUGUGGACAGUCCUGUCAUGCUGAGAAGGUUCAUAUCAAACGAGAUAGCACCACUGACCGUGUGUGUUAGGUACAUACAUGAAAACUACCUCAGCACAUUACAUGUAUGAGCAUCGUUGCCACUGAGGAAUCUAGAAAUACUGCCUAGGUGUUACCGGGCCUCGCAGUGGGAAGGUGGAGGUGAGACACAGAGCUGAAUGGGAAUGGCUCUUUUUCAGGAAAUUAUGUAGCUCUGAUUUUUUUUUCCACUCUCAGAACAAAAGGUGAGGUUACAGACUCCCCAGGAAAAUACAAUAAAAUGUGUAUUAAUAAAAUGUGUAAAUAA
Molecule: non-coding RNA, 12449 nt
Organism: Anas platyrhynchos (mallard)
Lineage: Eukaryota; Metazoa; Chordata; Aves; Anseriformes; Anatidae
Source: RefSeq, a predicted model, not a curated record